RNAcentral lists this ribosomal RNA (114 nucleotides) under uncultured bacterium. RNAcentral describes it as "partial 16S ribosomal RNA". It matches the Rfam family "Bacterial small subunit ribosomal RNA", at positions 1369 to 1482 of the family's 1533-position model. The record is from RNAcentral.
CGUUCCCGGGCCUUGUACACACCGCCCGUCACACUAUGGGAGUUGGUUUUACCCGAAGCCGGUGGGCUAACCGCAAGGAGGCAGCCGACCACGGUAAGGUCAGCGACUGGGGUG